AAGGAAUGCUUCCAGGCUGUCACUGCCAGCAUCCAGAAAAGGACCUGACUAAUGCUUCCUUUGAGAAAAGCACCGUAAAGCAUGAUUGGCUCCAUUCUCCAACAGACAAAGUGGAUGUGGCAACCCCAGACCUUCCAACCUUUCAGCUGCAAGUUCAACAGGAAUAAAGACUUCUUCCCAGUGGUUUCUUCAAAAGCCCUCAGAUUAGCUGUUUGCCUAGCUUGUCACAUGCCACCCCAGAACCAAUCCCUAUGGCCAGAGAAAUGUAGCGUAUUGAUUGGUUUAGCCCUAGGUCACAUGACCCACCUCUGGAAAAGGGCUCAAUCCUCACUCAAACUGCUUUGGCUGAAGGCUUGGAAGAGAUGGAGCCAAGGAAAGUAGACACUGGGGAUGCAAAAAUAAAAGUUCAAUAAGUAUGCCUUUAAAUACGGACCAGAUACUGAAUAUUAAAAACCAGCACAUUCUGAAAA
Molecule: non-coding RNA, 470 nt
Organism: Homo sapiens (human)
Lineage: Eukaryota; Metazoa; Chordata; Mammalia; Primates; Hominidae
Source: RefSeq, a predicted model, not a curated record